RNAcentral lists this ribosomal RNA (208 nucleotides) under uncultured bacterium. RNAcentral's name for it is "partial 16S ribosomal RNA". It matches the Rfam family "Bacterial small subunit ribosomal RNA", at positions 568 to 774 of the family's 1533-position model. The record is from RNAcentral.
CUCGUAGGUGGCCAACUAAGUCAGACGUGAAAUCCCUCGGCUUAACCGGGGAACUGCGUCUGAUACUGGAUGGCUUGAGUUUGGGAGAGGGAUGCGGAAUUCCAGGUGUAGCGGUGAAAUGCGUAGAUAUCUGGAGGAACACCGGUGGCGAAGGCGGCAUCCUGGACCAGUACUGACGCUGAGGAGCGAAAGCCGAGGGGAGCAAACG